RNAcentral lists this ribosomal RNA (468 nucleotides) under uncultured bacterium. Its description in RNAcentral is "partial 16S ribosomal RNA". It matches the Rfam family "Bacterial small subunit ribosomal RNA", at positions 28 to 507 of the family's 1533-position model. The record is from RNAcentral.
GACGAACGCUGGCGGCGUGCUUUACACAUGCAAGUCGAACGGAAAGGCCCUGCUUUUGUGGGGUGCUCGAGUGGCGAACGGGUGAGUAACACGUGAGUAACCUGCCCUUGACUUUGGGAUAACUUCAGGAAACUGGGGCUAAUACCGGAUAGGAGCUCCUGCUGCAUGGUGGGGGUUGGAAAGUUUCGGCGGUUGGGGAUGGACUCGCGGCUUAUCAGCUUGUUGGUGGGGUAGUGGCUUACCAAGGCUUUGACGGGUAGCCGGCCUGAGAGGGUGACCGGCCACAUUGGGACUGAGAUACGGCCCAGACUCCUACGGGAGGCAGCAGUGGGGAAUAUUGCACAAUGGGCGGAAGCCUGAUGCAGCAACGCCGCGUGCGGGAUGACGGCCUUCGGGUUGUAAACCGCUUUCGCCUGUGACGAAGUGUGAGUGACGGUAAUGGGUAAAGAAGCACCGGCUAACUACGUG